Molecule: long non-coding RNA, 469 nt
Filed under: Chinchilla lanigera (long-tailed chinchilla)
Lineage: Eukaryota; Metazoa; Chordata; Mammalia; Rodentia; Chinchillidae
Description: lncRNA (ENSCLAG00000023988.1)
Source: RNAcentral
GUGCUUUCAUUUUUCUAACCUUAGGAUGACACUGUUGGUUCCUGCAUGCAGUGAACAUACAGACAUGGGCUGAGGACAGGAAAUCCAGGAGGACUGUGAUCAUCAUACAAAGCUGAAAUGCUUUCCAAAACACAGUUCUGUCUGCCGAGCUGUUCUGUUAUCACAACACCUGCGACGCAGACAACUGGUUCUGCCUGUGGCUAUUUCACCCAGAAGGAGACGGAGGGCUGAGCUCGGAGGAGCAGCGACUUGGCCAAGACCUCCUGAUUCUGCAGAUUCCAUGGCCUUACACUUUCCGCUGACCUGACUUUAAGUAGAGACAAGAUCUGCAAGCUGCCUGGUGGACACGGGCCCAAGGCUGUGGCAGAAUCAUCAGAAAACAACUCUGGCUUCCUCAUCCCCUGAGUUGGGAGAUUGCAGAGAAUCCUCUCCCUUCUGUGGCUUCUCUGUCACUAAGCACAGACGUUCC